UACGGAGGGUGCGAGCGUUGUUCGGAAUCACUGGGCGUAAAGGGCGUGUAGGCGGUCCGCUAAGUCUGAUGUGAAAGCCCGGGGCUCACCCCCGGAAGUGCAUUGGAAACUGGCGGACUCGAGUCCCGGAGAGGAGAGUGGAAUUCCUGGUGUAGCGGUGAAAUGCGUAGAUAUCUGGAGGAACACCGGUGGCGAAGGCGGCAUCCUGGACCGGCAUUGACGCUGAGGCGCGAAAGCCAGGGGAGCAAACGGG
RNAcentral lists this ribosomal RNA (253 nucleotides) under uncultured bacterium. RNAcentral describes it as "partial 16S ribosomal RNA". It matches the Rfam family "Bacterial small subunit ribosomal RNA", at positions 524 to 776 of the family's 1533-position model. The record is from RNAcentral.